Molecule: ribosomal RNA, 253 nt
Filed under: uncultured bacterium
Lineage: Bacteria
Description: partial 16S ribosomal RNA
Rfam family: Bacterial small subunit ribosomal RNA
Source: RNAcentral
UACGUAGGGACCAAGCGUUGUUCGGAUUUACUGGGCGUAAAGGGCGCGUAGGCGGCGUGGUAAGUCACUUGUGAAAUCUCUGAGCUUAACUCAGAACGGCCAAGUGAUACUGCUGUGCUAGAGUGCAGAAGGGGCAAUCGGAAUUCUUGGUGUAGCGGUGAAAUGCGUAGAUAUCAAGAGGAACACCUGAGAUGAAGACGGGUUGCUGGGCUGACACUGACGCUGAGGCGCGAAAGCCAGGGGAGCAAACGGG